GAUCAUGGCUCAGGAUGAACGCUGGCGGCGUGCUUAACACAUGCAAGUCGAACGGAGCGCCCUUGAUGGAGGAUUCGUCCAACUGAUAGGGUUGCUUAGUGGCGGACGGGUGAGUAACGCGUGAGGAACCUGCCUUGGAGUGGGGAAUAACAGUUAGAAAUUUGUGCUAAUACCGCAUACGGAACAGUUACCGCAUGGUAGCAGUUUGAAAGAUUUAUCGCUAAUGGAUGGACUCGCGUCUGAUUAGAUAGUUGGUAGGGUAACGGCCUACCAAGUCGACGAUCAGUAGCCGAACUGAGAGGUUGAUCGGCCACAUUGGGACUGAGACACGGCCCAGACUCCUACGGGAGGCAGCAGUGGGGGAUAUUGCGCAAUGGGGGAAACCCUGACGCAGCAACGCCGCGUGCAGGAUGACGGCCUUCGGGUUGUAAACUGUUGUCGCAAGGGAAGAAGACAGUGACGGUACCUUGUGAGAAAGCCACGGCUAACUACGUG
Molecule: ribosomal RNA, 495 nt
Filed under: uncultured bacterium
Lineage: Bacteria
Description: bacterial SSU rRNA
Rfam family: Bacterial small subunit ribosomal RNA
Source: RNAcentral